Algoriphagus sp. is the source of this 109-nucleotide regulatory RNA element. It matches the Rfam family "SAM riboswitch aptamer (S box leader)". From Rfam's summary of the family: The SAM riboswitch is found upstream of a number of genes which code for proteins involved in methionine or cysteine biosynthesis in Gram-positive bacteria. The SAM riboswitch acts at the level of transcription termination control. Lineage: Bacteria; Pseudomonadati; Bacteroidota; Cytophagia; Cytophagales; Cyclobacteriaceae. The record is from Rfam.
GAUUUAUAAAGAAGAGGCGAGAGACAGGCUCUAUGACCCUCUGGCAACCUGGAAAGUCCAAGGUGCCAAUUCCUGCCAAAUGAGAAGGUCUCAUUUGGAACUAUAAAUU